This is a long non-coding RNA of Daphnia magna, 955 nucleotides long. RefSeq lists it as uncharacterized. The record is from RefSeq and is a predicted model, not a curated record. NCBI's taxonomy places the organism in Eukaryota, Metazoa, Arthropoda, Branchiopoda, Diplostraca, Daphniidae. The transcript is spliced from 2 exons.
AAUGUUUUAAGGCCGUACCUGGCGAUAACUUCCCCUUUGGCUUAAAGAAAUAUUUUUUUUUUCUCUCUCGUCUCAAGGUCGAAUGAAAAUCCACGAGUUUCCGUUUCCAAAGAAAAUCGCACCGUUUUAUCCUCCCUCUUAAGUGACAUCACAAGUCCAAGUUACGAAAUUGUCACCCACCCCUUACAGACUGGUAUGGUCAAACAAGCAAAAAAAUAAAAUAAAAUAAAAAACAAAAGUAAAACUCGUCCAACAUCAGACCGAGUGCAAAAAUCGACAUGGUCAAAUGAUGGGAUUACAUGUUGCAAGCUAGUGCCUCAUACUGCGACAAUCACGCGACCUGGUUAUUUUCCUUCCUUUUUCUUUUUACAUCGUAAAUAUUGCGAGGCUACGGUGACAAGGAGGUCUCUCAGUGGGAGAUUAUCUCGUUUUAUCGUUGGCGGAUUCACGCUGGUCGGAAUUGCAACACUAUGGGCAUUUCCAGAGUUUCGACGAAUAAAAUAGAUCACCUCUCUUUUAUGCGCACAACGUUUGGCCUGAAUACCGACAUUCUACCCGGAAAAUGCAAAAACAAAAUGCAUUCAUUUCAGGGAUUUCCAGCAGACCCAAAUAGCUAUUCUUUUUUUCACCUUAAAGAUAAUCGUGCUCUUUGGUGAAGUUGAUAUGCAGGUUUCAGCAAAAUUUAAUACGAAACUGAAUGACCGGAAAAUCAUGGAAGAUGUUCUGGACUAGAUUCACUACCCUAUCAGAGAUUGAGUCACCGCCAGGUCUCACCAAGAUAGAAGAAUCAAAUCAAUAAAUGGCAAGGUAAUGUUCCUACCUGGCCUGUGGUUGACGUCAAUAAUUCGUGAGUGAGAGAGUGAUAGUCUCCUGUGGUUUUUUGUGAAGGUUGACGUAUGGUGCAUCCCUGAAUGAAGGAUAAGCAAGUUGGAAUACAUUAAUUUCUUAAAUGAUG